AGACAGUUAGUCCAGUUUAAGACCUUUGAUUUCGGCUCAAAAAAUCAUGGUUAAAGCCCAUGACUGCCUU
RNAcentral lists this transfer RNA (70 nucleotides) under Polyipnus polli. RNAcentral's name for it is "tRNA-Arg". It matches the Rfam family "tRNA". From Rfam's summary of the family: Transfer RNA (tRNA) molecules are approximately 80 nucleotides in length. Their secondary structure includes four short double-helical elements and three loops (D, anti-codon, and T loops). Lineage: Eukaryota; Metazoa; Chordata; Actinopteri; Stomiiformes; Sternoptychidae. The record is from RNAcentral.